GCUUACAAGAGCCAGAAGUUUGUUCCACUGGAGCCAGUGUCCGAGUUUUUAAAAUACACGACAAUCCAGCUGACCAGCGUGUAAGAAGUCCUUCUCCCCCGAGGUCACCACAACGAGGAAACCUACCCGUCUCUAUGGAAAUGCCCAAGUAGAGGUCCAAGGCCCCAAACACAGCACCCCUGAAGUUCUGGCCAGCAGCUAGCACCAACUGCCAGCCGGCAGAGACAGGGUAUUCAGGACAUUCUCAACACCCAGAAUCACCCGGCCCAUCCACAGAAUGGUGAGAAAGAAUAAAUUAUUGUUUUACGCC
This 310-nucleotide long non-coding RNA is filed under the name Fukomys damarensis (Damara mole-rat). Its description in RNAcentral is "lncRNA (ENSFDAG00000024778.1)". The record is from RNAcentral. Lineage: Eukaryota; Metazoa; Chordata; Mammalia; Rodentia; Bathyergidae.